UCGGCCCGACGGUGUUCGUGAUGUCUAACGUGGUCUUGAGCCAACAGAUAAAGAGUCGGGAACUCCUAACCGGCCCGUCACGGGCGUGGAGCGGGGUGCCCACCUGCGAAAGCAGGUUCAAGGCUCCGUUGCACACGGCACAGGUGGAGUCGAC
Molecule: non-coding RNA, 154 nt
Filed under: Chloroflexota bacterium
Lineage: Bacteria; Bacillati; Chloroflexota
Also listed under: 1 other name
Description: 6S RNA
Rfam family: 6S / SsrS RNA
About the family: E. coli 6S RNA was the first non coding RNA to be sequenced, but its function was unknown until recently. It consists of 184 nucleotides that fold into an extended hairpin structure with a large single-stranded internal bulge.
Source: RNAcentral